GAUGAACGCUCGCUACAGGCUUAACACAUGCAAGUCGCGGGGCAGCAUGGGGGUUGCUUGCAAUCCCCGAUGGCGACCGGCGCACGGGUGAGUAACGCGUAUCCAACCUGCCCUUCACCACGGGAUAACCCGGCGAAAGUCGGACUAAUACCGUAUGUUGUCCAUUGACGGCAUCCGAUUUGGACGAAAGGUUUGGCGGUGAAGGAUGGGGAUGCGUCCGAUUAGCUGGACGGCGGGGUGACGGCCCACCGUGGCGACGAUCGGUAGGGGUUCGGAGAGGAAGGUCCCCCACACUGGAACUGAGACACGGUCCAGACUCCUACGGGAGGCAGCAGUGAGGAAGAUUGGUCAAUGGGCGUAAGCCUGAACCAGCCAAGUAGCGUGCAGGAGGACGGCCCUAUGGGUUGUAAACUGCUUUUAUGCGGGGAUAAAGUGGCCCACGUGUGGGUUUUUGCAGGUACCGCAUGAAUAAGGACCGGCUAAUUCCGUG
This 490-nucleotide ribosomal RNA is filed under the name uncultured bacterium. RNAcentral's name for it is "partial 16S ribosomal RNA". It matches the Rfam family "Bacterial small subunit ribosomal RNA", at positions 28 to 507 of the family's 1533-position model. The record is from RNAcentral.